GCACUGCUGAAGAGUCGCACAAUAGGACGAAACGGCUGUCCAGUGC
Non-coding RNA from Schistosoma haematobium, 46 nucleotides. The record is from Rfam. NCBI's taxonomy places the organism in Eukaryota, Metazoa, Platyhelminthes, Trematoda, Strigeidida, Schistosomatidae.